This 11197-nucleotide long non-coding RNA is filed under the name Homo sapiens (human). RNAcentral describes it as "PREDICTED lncRNA (TCONS_00172811)". Lineage: Eukaryota; Metazoa; Chordata; Mammalia; Primates; Hominidae. The record is from RNAcentral.
GCGCCUACUGCCCCGUAGGCAUCCCGGGGGACAAACGCUGGGUCGUCCUGAGUCGCUCCCACUCGCCAGGUCCCAUAACCUUGAAGACUGCCAGACUUCCCCAGCCGAAGCAUCGCACCCUGGUGCUCGAGAACUUGGUCGAAUUUUCUCCUCUGUCAGAGAAGAGACUGGCUGGCAGAGCAAGGGGUCUUGCUGUGUCCCUCGGGCUGGAGUGCAGUGGCACCAUCACAGUUCACUUGCAGCCUCGACCUCCCUGGGUUCAAGCCAUCCUCCUGCCUCAGCCUCCAGAGGAGCUGGACUACAGAUGACUUGGCGCAUCUGCUAGAGAAAAACAGCAAAUAGCACAUCUAAAAACAGCUUGGUGGUUUUUUGCAUCUUUAGAGAAAGCUGCUUUAGGAGGGUCUGCAGUAUAGACCUCCUGUAUCUGCAAGGUGACAGACGGAGGACCCCAAGCCGUGGGAACUGGUCACCUACUGUGGGGCCCAGGCCUCUCCCCACUGCAGGUCAAGCCCAUCUUGAAGCCACCACCUGCUUAGUGCUCAAGGUCACCGCUCUCAGCCUGGUCCAGGUGCUGAAGGAUCAUCUCGACACGAGGGGGCGCCAUCUCCUCACAUUGUGAGGAAGCCUCUGGCAUCGGGAUGAAUUUUGUUCUAGAGCUUUCCUUCUACAAACCUCGGUGUUGUUCUCGCUCACAUGCAAGAAAGAAUCGGAGUAUUGUGAGAUGGAGUCGCCUAAGCUGGAGUGCAGUGACAUGAUCUCGGCUCACUGUAACCUCUGUCUCCCGGAUUCAAGCAAUUCUCCUGCCUCAGCCUCUGGAGUAGCUGGGAUUACAGCUGGGUGCGGUGGCUCAGGACUGUAAUUCCAGCUACAUGAGAGGAUUGCCUGAGGCCAGGAGUUUGAGACCAGCCUGAACAACAUAAUAGACUGGGAGCUCCAUGAGGUCCGAGACAACCUGAAGACGCCCAGCUCAGCAGAGACUGGCUACGGCAAUCACUCAGUAACUAUUUGUUGAAUUGGACAUAAUAGAAGAGCUGAAGAAUUUUAAACAAGUCACCAUCAGUGCAGUGGAUUCCUCAAAGCAAACCUGGAAAUCUCGGCAUGAGUUGGAUUUAAGGCAGUACAUUUUCAGCUCCUGAAAAUUUGAACAGUUUCUCAAGAGAACAACUUGAAACAGAAAGGCAAGGAUGUAGAUGUGGUUGUAGAAGAUGAUGUCUGCGGCCACCAAACUGUCCACUGUGAAGACAAACCAUGCAUGUUUAGUAGGCAGUGGCUCCUCUUCCCUGUGGGGAGUCCCACUGCUUCCCUGGCCUGGGUGUUCUCUGCCGGUAGAUGUUAUUGACAAAAUAAGCAAAGUCCUCUGAUUCUGAGAAUUAGAGUUAAUGAUAGCUCUAGAUUGCCUCUGCCAUGCUAUUUAAAGUCCUGCUUUAUUGUCUGACAUGAGUUCGGCAUCUAUGAGGACUUGUCCAGUGCAAAGUACAAUCUCCACUGAAAGAUAUCACCAGCACAUCUUGUCACUGUGCUGUAGCAAGCUGGGCAGUACAAUGAUGUUGGCAGGAUCCUGUUUAGGUGGAGGAUGGCCACCUGGGCAUCAAGAAUCUUCUACCCUGAUUCCACAUUGACUCCCCAAAGUGGGCUUCAGACAGCUCUUUACUUACGUCUUCUGAUUAAAGCAGCAGACAGGGUCCCAGCUAGAGAAAAGUUCUGGGAGCAGGAGAGGUGUUGGUGGCUUUAAAACCAGGGGUGAAGAUUGAAUUAGGAGGUUAGGCAGGAGUAGGAUCAAAGACUUAGAAAAUGCUUGUUUCCUCCUAUUAUUCUUAUGAGAGCUGAUACGGGGCUUUCAGUUUUGGGGGAGAGCCUUGGAAGAGAAUGAGGGAAUUUAAUCAACUAGCGGGACCUUUCCAACUUACAUUUCCCAGUGUUUGUUGGAUGAUACGUUUGCCUAAUAAGUUAAAGCUUCCAAAAAUAGAAAGGAAAGCUUGGUGACACUAAGCUCUGGCAUGCUGUCAUCUUCUGGCUAGGGGUCUUGUGCUUCUGUUUUUCUAUUUCUGACCAAAGACAUAAAAUGUGUUGUGACCUCUCAGGUAAUGCUGUGGUAUCAUGUCCAAGCAGUAACUAACCAGAGUGGAGUUUUUACAGGUAAAAAAGUAUUGAAUAGCUCAGCAACAGGGAGGACUUAAUGAUAAAUUGCUUUUUCAGAAAAUGACAAGGGGACAGACACUUGCGGUUCUUCCAUUGAGAGCCUUAAGGAAGUUAAGCGAAGCCUCUGCUCACCCCUUCAAGUAACGAUGACCCAUCAGAUCGUGGUCAUAACCAGUAGCAUCUGAGGCACCCCUAAGCUCUCUGGGCCCCAGAUUCCUUGUUAAGUUAAAUGAGGUGACUUCCCAGUUUACCAUUCUAGGGGUUCCUGAGGAGUUAAAAAUGAAGGAGAAAAUGCAACAUGUACCAAGUGAGCAAGAGCUCAAGGCUUAUCUCUGGCACGAAAGUGACCGCUGUCCGUUAGAGAUGUGAUUGCCCUAGAUUUCCUUUAGGAAAUGCAAACAUUGAACUCUGGCCUUCAGGACCCAAGUCCCGGCUUGCAUCUAUUCUAUACACUUUCUGUUAUUUGUUAGGGCUCACAAGGAACAGUUAUUUAUCUUUUAUUUUCUAUUUUUUUUUUAGAGAUGGAGUCUCACUCUGUCUCCCAGGCUGGAGUGCAGUGGUGCCAUCUCAGCUCACUGCAACCUCCACCUCCCGGGUUCAAGCAAUUCUCCUGUCUCAGCCUCCUGAGUAGCUGGGACUACAGGCGUGUGCCAUCAUGCCCGGCUAAUUUUUAGUAUUUUUAGUAGAGGCAGGGUUUCACCAUAUUGGCCAGGCUGGUCUUGAACUCCUGAUCUCAAGUGAUCUACCCUCCUUGGCCUCCCAAACUGCUGGAAUUACAGAUGUGAGCGACCACACCUGGCCCAUUUGUUUUCUUUCAAACCCUUCUGUAAGACCAGUGCUUUAGGUGAACACGUGGACAGAACAAGAUCAUCACUAUUUUGCAAUAUGAAGACCAACUGCGCUGUGACCAGAAAAACAGAGGCAAAAUGUUGAGCUUAAUGAUACCUUUUUAUAAUUUGUAUUUGGUGUUUCUCAAUUUUCCAUUGGAUAGUUUGAGAGAUAAGUACAAGUCAAUGACAUGUUCUCUUUCGUACCCUAUUGUCUAAUCCUGCUAACACACACACACACACACACACACACACUGAUUACCUAAUUUAUCUGUUCCCCGAUUAUUACACUCUCAAUUGCUGCAGAGUCUCAGAAGCAGCAUGGUGUAACAGAAAGAAUAUGAGGCUUAGAAUCCAAAAGCCAGAGUGUGAAUUCCAGCUCCACUGACUUGCUGCGUGACUUGAAGCAAGUCAUUACGUGUCUCUGUUUACUCAUUUUAUGACUUUCCUAUUGCCUCUGUAAUAUAGCACCACAAACGUGUGGACUUAAAACAACAUGCAUUUAUUCUCUUAGCGUUCUGGAGGUCAGGAGUCUGACAUCAAUUUCGUUGGGCUAAAAUCAAGAUGUUGGUAGGACCAAGAUCCCCGUGGAGGCUCUGGGAGAACCCAUUUCCUUGCCUUUGCCAGCUUCUAAUGCUGCAUUCCUUGCAUUCCUUGAUUGUUGACCUCUUCCCCCAUCUUCAAAGCCAGCAGAACAGCACCUUGUUUCAUUGCCUUCUUUACUGUCAAAUCUCCCUCUGCCUUCUUCUUAUAAGAACACUUGUGGUUGCAUUUAGAAGCUGUGAUAAUCCAGAAUAAUAUCUUUAUCUCAAGAUCUUUGACUUGGUCUCUUCUGCAAAGUCUCUUUUGCCACAGAGGGAAAUAUUCACAGGUCCCAGGGGUCAGGCUGUGUACGUCUUUGGGGGACUUUAUUCUGCCUACCACACUCAUCUUUUUUUUUUUUUUUUUUGGAUGGAGUCUUGCUCUGUCACCCAGGCUGGAGUGCAGUGGCAUGAUCUCGGCUCACUGCAACUUCUGCCUCCCCAGUUCAAGCAAUUCUCCUGCCUCAACCUCCCAAGUAGCUGGAAUUACAGGCGCCUGCCACCACGCCCGGCUACUUUUUGUACUUUUAGUAGAGAUGGGGUUUCACUAUGUUGGCCUGGCUGGUCUUGAACUCCUGACCUCAGGUGAUUCCCCCACCUUGGCCUCCCAAAGUGCUGAGAUUACAGACGUGAGCCACCAUGCCCGGCCCCACACUCAUCUAUUAAGUAGAGCUAGGAAUUCCUAUCCUAAGGGACACAAAAAUGAAAAAAGAUAAAAUUUGUGAAGAGGCACAUAAUGAAAGCCCAUACAUGUCACUGAGUUCAGAGGAGGGUGGGUCUGACCUCCCAUUGGCUGGUCUCUGCCUGAUGGACAUCGUGAAGAAGAGAGCCAGGACUAGUGUGGCUGGGGGAUGUUCAGGGGCCAGAGUGGCUUCAGGUGCCAGCAGCCCUGGCCGAAGGAUGACUCCAGGAGCAAGGCUCAGAGCCGAGUGGAAGAAGCUUCAUAAACGCAACUGAGCCAAGCAUGAUGGGAUGUGCCUGUGGUUCCAGCUACUCAGGAGGCAGGUGGGAGGAUGGCUUGAGUCAGAAGUUCGAGGCUGCAGUGAGCUAUGAUCACACUACUGUACUCCAGCCUGGGUGACAGAAUGACACCCUGUCUCUAAAAAGAAAAGGCACCUGGAUGCUCAUGACCGAGAUGGGGUGGGGUGGGUGGGGUGGGACAGCCGCACUUUAUAACUUUGCUUUCAGCAUGAUGUGGAUUAGUGUCUCCCAUGUGGGAAAAUUAUGUUUACCACUUAGAGACCUGAUAGUGCUUGCUUACCCCAUAACGCUGGACGGUGGCAGGCUUAACUCCCCCAUCAAGGGCCUUAAUGUAUUUGGGGCCCUAGUCCUAGCAACAGCAGCAAAUCUCCUUUUUCUUUUCCUCGAGCUGGUUGUUCACCAGGCAGUUGGGAUGUUAAUGGGAAGAGAAGACACACACAAGUCCCUUGUUUUCAAUAAGGCAGUCUGGUCACGUCCUUAGCAGGUUAUUAAUCUUUUUCAAACCCCUCCUCUCCACCAAGUUUUAUGAUCCUGGGAAGGAGAUUCCUACCUAGCAUCCUUAGAGUUAUCGGGGGUUAGGAUCGGUGCAUGCAGUCACUUCCGUGGAAUCAUCAGUAGCCCUCCAGCCUCUGGGGAGAGCUGCCAGUGGUCAGAGAUGUUGGGAAUUACGAGGGAGGAGCUAGGGAGAAGGAACUCACAGUCCCUCAGUCUCUGAAGGUGGCUCCUGGCAGGAGAGGGGGCCAGUCCUAGAUAAGAGCUCUCCCAGGGAAUUCCAAGGGUCCUCCCAAGGUCCAGCCACAAGAUGAGGAAUUACUGUUGGGCUCUUCCUCAGAUGUGCCUGUGAAUUCAUAUCACAGAUGCUUGAUGCAUUUGACAAUUGUUUAAUUGCUUGAGCCCAACUGAUACUCUUUCAGUCACUUUAAGGGAGUGAUUUCAAGUAUGAUCAUUGCCUCAAAUCUGUAUGGCUUUCCUUGCCUUUCAGGUGCUUUAAGAGGGCUUAUGUUCUUUGACUCCCCUAGUAACUCAAAAGGGUGGCUAAGAUGCAACUCUGGAGGUUUCCAAGCUCUCUGCAAAGCCUGCCUUCAGUAGUCUGUGCACCACAAGAAGCAUAACUUUAUUAUCCUCUAGCUGAAUUUACCUCCUGCUUCGAGCCCCUGUUUUCCCAUGUCAUUUUAGGGGUCCAAUGUUUUUCCUGGAGGCAUAUACACACACACACACACACACACACACACACACACACACACACACACACACACAUAUAUACACACACACAUUCCAGGGGCCUCUGAGGUGCCAAGACAUGUGUGGGGUCCAUCUGGUUCACACUGAUGUCCAUGAUCAUUGAGUUCAUUUUUUAUAUCAACUAUGUGACACUUCCUAUAGUUUCCAGUUCCUGGUUAGAAUUUGCAAAGUUGCCGACUAUUUCUUUGAAUAGAGUAGCUAGAUCAUGGGUCUACACCAGUCAUCAAGCAGCGAUUUCCCUGUUGGAAGCUCCAAGCAAAUUGUCAGCUCCAGCAUUCCACACAGCUGUGGGUGCCACACUCCUUUUCCUUUUAAAAGAUGAUGAUCUGCUAGUGGUGAAUGCUCUUGGAGUUUUAUUUGUAGGUUUUUCUUGUUGUCGCAAAUGUCUAUAUUUCAUCUUCCCUCUUGAGGGAUAUUUUCCAUGGGUAGAGGAUCUAGGCUUUUCUUUUGGAUUCCAUUGUGGCUUUAAAAAAAAGUCAGUUGACUGUUUAUUUAUGGCUUCUCUAAAGGUGAUCUCUUUCUUCCUAAGGCUGCUUUAAAAGUUUCCGUUCCCUCCCUCCCUUCCUCCCACCCCAUCCCCCUUCUUCCUUUCCUUCCUCCCUCCCUUCCUCCCUUCUCUUCCUCCCUUUCUCCCUUGUCUUCCUCCUUUUCUCCCAUCCUCCCUUCCUCCCUCUUUCCUUCUUUUUUCCCUUCCUCCCGCCCUCCUUCCUUCUUCCAUCAUUAUAUAUUAAAAUAUUUUCUUUCUUUCUUUUUUUUUUUUGAGAUGGAGUUUCGCUCUUGUUGCCCAGGCUGGAGUGCAACGGUGUGAUCUUGGCUUACUGCAACCUCCACCUCCCUGGUUCAAGCGAUUCACCUGCCUCAGCCUCCCUAGUAGCUGGGAUUACAGGUGCCCGCCACCACACCCAGCUAAUUUUUGUAAUUGUAGUAGAGAUGGGGUUUCACCAUGUGGGCCAGGCUGGUCUUGAACUCCUGAACUCAGGUAAUCCACCCGCCUUGUCCUCCCAAAGUGCUGGAAUUACAGGCAUGAGCCACCACUCCCAGCCUAUUAAAAUAUUUUCUUCUGGGCCUUCCCUCCUUUUACUUCUUUUGAUACCGCCAUCAAAUGCAUGUUAGGUUGACUCACUGUGUACUCUAUUACCCUCUCAUCUGGUUUUUAAUCUUUCUGUCUCCUUAUACUGUAAUCUCAGUGUUUCUUCUGCUUUAAUUUUGGUAUAUGAAUUAUUCAGCUGUGUUCAAAGUGUGGUUAAAGCGACUUAUAUGCUCUUUAAUUUUUAGUUAUUGUACUUUUCACCUCUAGAAGUUCUUCUGUGACACUUCUUAUAGUUUCCAGUUCCUGGUUAGAAUUUGCAAACUUGUUGACUAUUUCUUUGAAAAGAGUAGCUAGAAUUGUUUUAGUCUGUGUAUAGUGAGUUGAAUAUCUGAAACCUCUGUGAGUCUGUUUCUUUUGUCUGCUAGCCCUACUCAUGGCGUCAUGUUUUCCUGGAUGUUUAGUUGGUUGUCUUUGAAUAUGUCCAACUCCAGUUAUUUCUGGGAAUACCCAAAGGCACACCUGUUCACUAUCACCCAGUGAACUGCCAUGUGUUUGUCUCCUGUCAUGGUAACAUUUGCAUUCAGGGAGAGGCCUCUGCUCUCUGCAGAACAGUGUGAAAUCACCUCAUUUUUGCCUUCAAUGAAGGUUGUCUCUUGCUGGUCACCACCACUUCCUCAAAUGACUAAUGCCACUCUUGCUCACAGUGCUAAGGCGCUAAGGAGUUUUCAGAGGGCUAGAGUGAUUCUGCAUCCUCUGGGGUUCUCAGGAAACGAGGCCACAGGGCCAUCUGUGCAUGAGUGACAGUGGGGUGGGGUGGAUGAGCAGUGGCAGUGGUGGGCACCUAUGCUGCUGGCGCCACAGCUUUUUAUAUCUUGGUGAAAACAACGCCUUGCGUUUUCACUUGUAGAUUCUCCGGCUACAUUCCACAAGAACAAAUUCUGGUCACAGAGGCCAGAGUAGACUAUCAGUGUAAUGGCCCUUCCCCUUUGAUGAUAGCAGCUUUUUUCGGGGGAGCAGGGGUGGCCAAACUUCCUAGCCUUAUUUUAUCUUCCUUUCUAGUUCUCCCCAGAGGCUGCUGGGUCCACCUCUCCCUCUGCCAGACAGACAGGCUCAGACAUGCAAGAACGGAAGGGGGUGUGGGGGUUGGUGGGAGGAUUAAGUUGGGGAAAGCCAGUCUUGUCUUUGUAGAUUACCAGAACUGACACACGUACACACACGUACACUCACUCACUCACUCACUCAUCUAUUCAUCUAUUUUUGGCCUAAGUGCCUUUGGACACUUCUUCGGAAAAGCACAUGAACUCUUCGGAGUCUCCUGUUCCACUUGGUAAAUUUCCUAUAGCCACGCACUGAAAGUCCCUGCUGCCCUCCUUCCUCUGAGCUUGUGGGGCCCACAGAUCCCCUGCUCCACUUCCUGCUUCAUUUCAGCUGAUGGUGAGUCCAGGGCAGGCUUGUAGGAAGGGCGGGCUAGGCGUGGGGAACUGCAGCACCCACCCCACCCCCCGCCCCAGUGCUUGUUGCCCCAGCCUCUGUCUCCCUCGCUGUGCCCUUCCCUUAAGCCCCACUCUUGGCCUCCCCAAAGACAGAGUUUGUUCUGUUUUUAUUGAUAGGAUGACACUCCCUCGUUCUAAUACCAUCUGAAUGCCUGAGCAAUUACAUCUUACAACCUCAUGAAAAACACAGCAGCUUGUCACGAUGAAUGAUGUUACCGUGAAUAAUGCAGUUUUGAGUUCAAACUCCUUCUUAUUCCAAGAAUGAGUAAAUAUCCCUAUUCCCUCCCCUCCCCAUUGCAUUUGGGUUUGACAUGACAUGAAUCAUUGUGGUUUUACUCCUGGGUAGAAUUGUUUUUCUGUAUUGCAUUGCCAAUUGAUGGAAGGACAAAAAAAGGAAACUUACCAAUGAGCAGUUUCAGAUGAACUUAAAUUCUCAGAAAUCUUGAAGAAUGAAUGAACUAUAACUUUCUGAAGUUGCAAAAAUGUUCAAGUCGGAAGUGACCCAUGGGAAGCAACCUGGUCCUUAAUUAGGACUGGAAAGAAAACGGAGGCCCAGCGAGGGAACAGUGGCUUCCCCAAGGUCACACUGCAAGUGAGUGGUGGCACUAGUCACCCAGGAGUCCUCCUGACUCCAUGGUAUCCUGACCCCAGACCAGCAGCCUUAUUUGUGGUUAAAGAACGUGGAAAAACAGCUUAUGUUUGAAUUUUAAAAUCAUGCCAGUACUAAAGAUCUGCAUUCCAUGAAUAUUGAGCUUUGCUGUGUGCGGGUUGCUACGAAUUUUGUAACUAUUUUCUCUAAGAGCUCUCAGUAUUUUACAUAUACAAUUCCAUUCUUUAUUGUCCAGGGAAAAAGUUGCAUUUACUGAGCAGUAAGAGGGUGAUUUGAAGUCCCUGGGGUCCCCCACCCUUGUCUUUCUAUGUGAGAUUGUAUUGCAGGGCUCACAUUUAUUCUCUCAGCAGCUCAUUGCACAGACAGUGUAUUUAUUGAGCACCUACUGUGUGCCAGGAGCUAUGUGGUAAGCUAAGCAGACAAAAACUCCUGCUCUCACAAGAAGAAAGAAUAAACAAGCAGACAAUUGCACCUAUAAUGUCAGCCUGGUGUGAUGGCUCACUCCUGGAAUCCUAGCACUUUGGGAGGUGACGAUGGGAGGAUUGCUUUAACUCGGGAGUUCAAGAUAAGCCUGGGCAACCAAGACCCUGUCUCUACAAAAAAAUCAAAAAAUUAGCUGGGGGUGAUGGCAUGAGUCUCUGGUCCCUCGGGACCAGAGGCCUCGGGAGGCUGAGGCGGGUUUAUCACUUGAGCCUGGGAGGUUGAGGCUGCAGUGAGCUGUGAUCACACCACUGCACUCCAGCCUGGGCCACAGAGCGAGACCCUGUCUCUAAAUAAACAAACAACCUAAUGUCAAGUUAGGAAGUGUGGCAAAAAGGAACAAAGUCAGGGUGACUGCCAUUCUAGAAAGGGUGGUGAGGGAAGGUCUCCUUGAGCAGAUCCUGUGGGAGUGGAAGGGUAAGUCACGAGACUCUCUGGAGGAAGAAGAUUCCAGGUGGAAAUGCCUUAGUGGGUGUUAAACGCUUUAACGGGUGUUAGCCAGAAAGCCAGAAUGGCUGGAGCUGAGGGAGUAGAGGAGGCGGCAUAGAAAAUGAGGUCAGAGAUGGAGGCAGGGCCGGAUCACAGAGGGGCACAGAGAACGAGGAGGGAAUUGGAUUUUUGGAAAAGAUUGUGGCAAAAUACAAAAUAUAAAAUACAAAAAUAAAAUAUAAACCAUAAAAUGUACUACCUUUACCAUUUUAAGUAUGCAGUUCAGUAGUGUUAAAUACAUUUACAUCAUUGUUCAACCCGUCUCCAGAACUCUCUGCAUCUUGCAAAAUUAAAACUCUAUGCCAUUUCAACAGUUCGCAUUUCCUCUUCCCUCUCGUUCAUGGCAACCGCCAUUUUUCUUUCUGUCUCUGUAAAUGUUAGUACUUGGGGUAUCUCAUCUAAGUGGAAUCACACAGUGUGUGUCCUUUUGUGACAGACUUAUUUCACUUUGCAUAAUGUCCUUAAUAUUCAUCCAUGUUGUAGCAUGUGUCAGAUUUUCCUUCCUUCUUAACAUUGUGUAAUAUUCCAUUGUACGCAUAGACUACAUUUAGCUUAUCUGUUCACCUGUGGAUGGACACUUGGGUUGCUAUAGUGAAUAAUAUUGCUGUAAAUAUGGGUAUACGAUUAUCUCUUUGUGACCCUGCUUUUAAUUGUUUUGGAUAUAUACCCAGAAAUGGAAUUACUGAAUCAUGUGGAGAUUCUGUUUUUGAUUUAUUUAUUUAUUUUUAAUUUUUGAGAUGGAGUCUCGUUCUGUCACCCAGGCUGGAGUGCAGUGACACGAUCUCUGCUCACUGCAACCUCUGCCUCCUUGCACCAUUAAUUCUGAAAAUGCAGGCCUGGAUCCAACCGCCUUUGGGGACGGGUACCUGCCCACAGGAAGAGGUUGAGGAGACAAUAAUGUCACGAGAAUCAUCAUCUUUGACUGGGAAAUGGUGUGCAGAGUUUCUGGUGCCUUCUGAAGUGAUUGUCGCAUCUCAGCCUCCCUAGUAGCUGGGAUUACAGGCAUUUGCCACCAAGCCCGGCUAAUUUUUGUAUUUUUAGUAGAGACGGGGUUUCAUCAUGUUGGCCAGGCUGGUCUCAAACUCCUGACCUCAGGUGAUCCACCUGCCUCAGCCUCCCAAAGUGCUGGGAUUAUAGGUGUGAGCCAUGCACCUGGCCUGAUUGGUUAUUUAAAUUCUGAGAUGGGGUAUACUAAUGUUUGAAAACCACAGGGAUGGGAUAGGUAUAGGUGGGGAGGGAGAGCAAAAGUGGUAUUUAGAAUAUGUUACGUUUGAAAAACCUAAUACACAUUCUACAUCCAAGUGGACAUAGAUGGAGUUAUUUGA